CCUGCUGAGCUUCCGGACCAGAAGCAGCUGCACUACACGGAGGAGCUACUGCGACACGUGGCCCCCGGGCUGCAGCUGGAGCUUCGGGGGCCGCAGCUGUGGGCACUGGCGCAUGGACAAGUGCAAGGUAUACUGGGAGGUAGGCGGCCCCCCAGGCUCCGCCAGCCCCUCCACCUCAGCCUGUCUGCUGCCUCGCAACUUCGACACCCCAUCUUCGACUUCAGAGUCUUCUUUCAAGAGCUGGUGGAAUUCUGGGCACGGCGCCGCUGCAGCUCCCCACGCUGCACCAUCUACCUGGGCUUUGGCCAGGACUUGUCAGCUGGGAGACCCAAGGAGAAGAGCCUGGUCCUGGUGAAGCUGGAGCCCUGGCUGUGCCGAGUGUACCUGGAGGGCACGCAGCGCGAGGGGGUGUCUUCCCUGGACAGCAGCAGCCUCAGACUCUGCCUGUCCAGAGCCAACAGCCUCUACGAUGUCAUCGAGGGCUUCCUUAUGGAGCUGGAGCAGCCUGCCUAGAGCUGGCCGUGGCCACCCAGUCUAAUAAAAAGAGCCCCAGAACA
Molecule: RNA transcript, 557 nt
Organism: Cebus imitator (Panamanian white-faced capuchin)
Lineage: Eukaryota; Metazoa; Chordata; Mammalia; Primates; Cebidae
Gene name: interferon regulatory factor 7-like
Exons: 1
Source: RefSeq, a predicted model, not a curated record